UACGUAGGUGGCAAGCGUUGUCCGGAUUUAUUGGGUUUAAAGGGUGCGUAGGCGGCCUUGUAAGUCAGUGCUGAAAUAUCCCGGCUUAACCGGGAGGGUGGCAUUGAUACUGCAGGGCUUGAGUAAAGUUGAGGUUGGCGGAAUUGACGGUGUAGCGGUGAGAUGCUUAGAUAUCGUCAAGAACACCGAUAGUGAAGACAGCUAACUAAGCUUUAACUGACGCUGAGGCACGAAAGUGUGGGGAUCAAACAGG
RNAcentral lists this ribosomal RNA (253 nucleotides) under uncultured bacterium. RNAcentral's name for it is "partial 16S ribosomal RNA". It matches the Rfam family "Bacterial small subunit ribosomal RNA", at positions 524 to 776 of the family's 1533-position model. The record is from RNAcentral.